GAACAUCAUCGAGACUGGAGAUGAAGAAGAGAACAGGAAGGUUUACAUCAUGAACAGCGAAUUCAAGGAGACCAUCUUGCGUGCGCACUCGGCCCAACAGUUCAUGGUCGCUGCUGGAUGGUGUCAGGUUGAUGACAUGAUGGUCUUCACCAGAACCUGUGAUGUCCUGCUGCAGCCGACAGUAGAGGCGCUGGAAGAGAGUUUGAAUGCCCUGAAGGAAGAAAGCGUUACAGAAAAAGACACGCCUCUAUUCUCCCACACGCC
Molecule: long non-coding RNA, 264 nt
Organism: Branchiostoma floridae (Florida lancelet)
Lineage: Eukaryota; Metazoa; Chordata; Leptocardii; Amphioxiformes; Branchiostomatidae
Exons: 3
Source: RefSeq, a predicted model, not a curated record